This 35-nucleotide ribosomal RNA is filed under the name Laccaria sp. Its description in RNAcentral is "partial 18S ribosomal RNA". Lineage: Eukaryota; Fungi; Basidiomycota; Agaricomycetes; Agaricales; Hydnangiaceae. The record is from RNAcentral.
UUUCCGUAGGUGAACCUGCGGAAGGAUCAUUAUUG